Molecule: transfer RNA, 76 nt
Filed under: compost metagenome
Description: tRNA-Asn
Rfam family: tRNA
About the family: Transfer RNA (tRNA) molecules are approximately 80 nucleotides in length. Their secondary structure includes four short double-helical elements and three loops (D, anti-codon, and T loops). Further hydrogen bonds mediate the characteristic L-shaped molecular structure. tRNAs have two regions of fundamental functional importance: the anti-codon, which is responsible for specific mRNA codon recognition, and the 3' end, to which the tRNAs corresponding amino acid is attached (by aminoacyl-tRNA synthetases). tRNAs cope with the degeneracy of the genetic code in two manners: having more than one tRNA (with a specific anti-codon) for a particular amino acid; and 'wobble' base-pairing, i.e. permitting non-standard base-pairing at the 3rd anti-codon position.
Source: RNAcentral
UGAGGUAUAGCUCAGUAGGUAGAGCGUCUGACUGUUAAUCAGAUUGUCGCAGGUUCGAGCCCUGCUACCUCAGCCA